UAGGGAAUCUUCGGCAAUGGGGGCAACCCUGACCGAGCAACGCCGCGUGAGUGAAGAAGGUUUUCGGAUCGUAAAGCUCUGUUGUAAGUCAAGAACGAGUGUGAGAGUGGAAAGUUCACACUGUGACGGUAGCUUACCAGAAAGGGACGGCUAACUACGUGCCAGCAGCCGCGGUAAUACGUAGGUCCCGAGCGUUGUCCGGAUUUAUCGGGCGCAAAGCGAGCGCAGGCGGUUUGAUAAGUCUGAAGUUAAAGGCUGUGGCUCAACCAUAGUUCGCUUUGGAAACUGUCAAACUUGAGUGCAGAAGGGGAGAGUGGAAUUCCAUGUGUAGCGGUGAAAUGCGUAGAUAUAUGGAGGAACACCGGUGGCGAAAGCGGCUCUCUGGUCUGUAACUGACGCUGAGGCUCGAAAGCGUGGGGAGCGAACAGGAUUAGAUACCCUGGUAGUCCACGCCGUAAACGAUGAGUGCUAGGUGUUGGAUCCUUUCCGGGAUUCAGUGCCGCAGCUAACGCAUUAAGCACUCCGCCUGGGGAGUACGACCGCAAGGUUG
This 550-nucleotide ribosomal RNA is filed under the name uncultured bacterium. RNAcentral describes it as "bacterial SSU rRNA". It matches the Rfam family "Bacterial small subunit ribosomal RNA", at positions 355 to 896 of the family's 1533-position model. The record is from RNAcentral.